ACACGGCCCAGNACUCCUACGGGAGGCAGCAGUAGGGAAUCUUCCGCAAUGGACGAAAGUCUGACGGAGCAACGCCGCGUGAGUGAUGAAGGUUUUCGGAUCGUAAAACUCUGUUGUUAGGGAAGAACAAGUACCGUUCGAAUAGGGCGGUACCUUGACGGUACCUAACCAGAAAGCCACGGCUAACUACGUGCCAGCAGCCGCGGUAAUACGUAGGUGGCAAGCGUUGUCCGGAAUUAUUGGGCGUAAAGCGCGCGCAGGCGGUUUCUUAAGUCUGAUGUGAAAGCCCCCGGCUCAACCGGGGAGGGUCAUUGGAAACUGGGGAACUUGAGUGCAGAAGAGGAGAGUGGAAUUCCACGUGUAGCGGUGAAAUGCGUAGAGAUGUGGAGGAACACCAGUGGCGAAGGCGACUCUCUGGUCUGUAACUGACGCUGAGGCGCGAAAGCGUGGGGAGCGAACAGGAUUAGAUACCCUGGUAGUCCACGCCGUAAACGAUGAGUGCUAAGUGUUAGAGGGUUUCCGCCCUUUAGUGCUGCAGCAAACGCAUUAAGCACUCCGCCUGGGGAGUACGGUCGCAAGACUGAAACUCAAAGGAAUUGACGGGGGCCCGCACAAGCGGUGGAGCAUGUGGUUUAAUUCGAAGCAACGCGAAGAACCUUACCAGGUCUUGACAUCCUCUGACAACCCUAGAGAUAGGGCUUCCCCUUCGGGGGCAGAGUGACAGGUGGUGCAUGGUUGUCGUCAGCUCGUGUCGUGAGAUGUUGGGUUAAGUCCCGCAACGAGCGCAACCCUUGAUCUUAGUUGCCAGCAUUCAGUUGGGCACUCUAAGGUGACUGCCGGUGACAAACCGGAGGAAGGUGGGGAUGACGUCAAAUCAUCAUGCC
RNAcentral lists this ribosomal RNA (884 nucleotides) under Bacillus licheniformis. RNAcentral's name for it is "bacterial SSU rRNA". It matches the Rfam family "Bacterial small subunit ribosomal RNA", at positions 324 to 1199 of the family's 1533-position model. The record is from RNAcentral. Lineage: Bacteria; Bacillati; Bacillota; Bacilli; Caryophanales; Bacillaceae.